Molecule: non-coding RNA, 549 nt
Organism: Kogia breviceps (pygmy sperm whale)
Lineage: Eukaryota; Metazoa; Chordata; Mammalia; Artiodactyla; Physeteridae
Source: RefSeq, a predicted model, not a curated record
AAGAAAAUAAUUCUAAUUUCCCUAACAACAGGAUACAUUUAACAACCCUCAAUAUCUUUCUAAGGAAGAGCCUCCUAGGCAAAUAUUUUCUUUGAAGUCCCUGGCGCUUUGGCUAUAGCCAUCUGUUAUUUGUGGAUCUGGUUUCUCUCCUGCCCUCUACCACUCCGUCGCAGCCAGCCUGGCCACAACAGGGAGUCAACGCCCAUCACACAAGGACCCCUCUAUCUUCUGACCCCAUCAAGGUGGCUGGUGGUGCUAAACUGCUGGUGCCAUUUGUUCCAUGGCUUGGGGACCCCUCCUUGGCUGUGACUUGGUGCCAGAGAAUCUUUACUUCUGGAGAAUAUGGCGGUGAUGUGUUUGCAUCAUUUCUCCUCCAGAAAGCAAGGCAUUCAUUGCAUAAGUAAUGCAGUGAUCCAGGCAGCCAGGGAGCUGGAAGCAGAAGAAAAGACGCCCUGCCACUCUCUCGCCUGCUCUUUCAGGUCCUAGCUGGCUAGAAGAUGCAAUUCCAUUGAGUAAUAGUGCCAGGCUGGGGCAGCUGAAUUGGAUCUU